This 253-nucleotide ribosomal RNA is filed under the name uncultured bacterium. Its description in RNAcentral is "partial 16S ribosomal RNA". It matches the Rfam family "Bacterial small subunit ribosomal RNA", at positions 524 to 776 of the family's 1533-position model. The record is from RNAcentral.
UACAGAGGGUGCAAGCGUUGUUCGGAAUUACUGGGCGUAAAGCGCGUGUAGGCUGCGGUGUAAGUCAGGUGUGAAAGCCCUCAGCUUAACUGAGGAAGUGCACUUGAUACUGCGUCGCUUGAGUGUCGGAGGGGGUGGCGGAAUUCCCGGUGUAGAGGUGAAAUUCGUAGAUAUCGGGAGGAACACCUGUGGCGAAGGCGGCCACCUGGACGACAACUGACGCUGAGACGCGAAAGCGUGGGUAGCAAACAGG